Molecule: ribosomal RNA, 492 nt
Filed under: uncultured bacterium
Lineage: Bacteria
Description: partial 16S ribosomal RNA
Rfam family: Bacterial small subunit ribosomal RNA
Source: RNAcentral
AGUGAACGCUGGCGGUAGGCCUAACACAUGCAAGUCGAACGGCAGCACAGUAAGAGCUUGCUCUUACGGGUGGCGAGUGGCGGACGGGUGAGGAAUACAUCGGAAUCUACUUUUUCGUGGGGGAUAACGUAGGGAAACUUACGCUAAUACCGCAUACGACCUACGGGUGAAAGCAGGGGAUCUUCGGACCUUGCGCGAUUGAAUGAGCCGAUGUCGGAUUAGCUAGUUGGCGGGGUAAAGGCCCACCAAGGCGACGAUCCGUAGCUGGUCUGAGAGGAUGAUCAGCCACACUAGAACUGAGACACGGUCCAGACUCCUACGGGAGGCAGCAGUGGGGAAUAUUGGACAAUGGGCGCAAGCCUGAUCCAGCCAUACCACGUGGGUGAAGAAGGCCUUCGGGUUGUAAAGCCCUUUUGUUGGGAAAGAAAAGCAGCAGGUUAAUACCCCGCUGUUCUGACGGUACCCAAAGAAUAAGCACCGGCUAACUUCGUG